This 69-nucleotide transfer RNA is filed under the name Bos taurus (domestic cattle). It matches the Rfam family "tRNA". Rfam says of the family: Transfer RNA (tRNA) molecules are approximately 80 nucleotides in length. Their secondary structure includes four short double-helical elements and three loops (D, anti-codon, and T loops). Further hydrogen bonds mediate the characteristic L-shaped molecular structure. tRNAs have two regions of fundamental functional importance: the anti-codon, which is responsible for specific mRNA codon recognition, and the 3' end, to which the tRNAs corresponding amino acid is attached (by aminoacyl-tRNA synthetases). tRNAs cope with the degeneracy of the genetic code in two manners: having more than one tRNA (with a specific anti-codon) for a particular amino acid; and 'wobble' base-pairing, i.e. permitting non-standard base-pairing at the 3rd anti-codon position. The record is from Rfam by way of RNAcentral. Lineage: Eukaryota; Metazoa; Chordata; Mammalia; Artiodactyla; Bovidae. RNAcentral also lists the same sequence under 5 other names.
CCUGAUAGCUCAGAUGGUAAAGAAUCUGCCUGCAAUGCAGGUGAUCAGGGUUCAAUCCCUGGGUCAGGA